CUGGGGUGUGCCUCCUAGUGGACUCUGAAGGGCCAGUCUCUGGAUCUGAAACAAACUGGAUGUCUGGAGAUGCUGCCCUGAUGUCAUGGAGAGGUGAUGAAGGACCUUCUUCAUCAGCUCUGUCUUCAGCUCUGUCCUCAACUCUCUCUUCUUCACCCUUAAUCCAACCACCAUCAGUCCUAGUGAAUCCCAUGCGGUGCAAAGUGUGUUGGUUGAUGGUGUCAGAGUGAGAAAGCCUAGCUGAUGCCUCCCCC
Molecule: long non-coding RNA, 254 nt
Filed under: Elaeis guineensis (African oil palm)
Lineage: Eukaryota; Viridiplantae; Streptophyta; Magnoliopsida; Arecales; Arecaceae
Description: long non-coding RNA (EGUI_LNC071564)
Source: RNAcentral